Long non-coding RNA from Drosophila navojoa, 88 nucleotides. NCBI's taxonomy places the organism in Eukaryota, Metazoa, Arthropoda, Insecta, Diptera, Drosophilidae. The record is from RefSeq and is a predicted model, not a curated record.
CCACGACUGAGCUUGAAAGCUGCAUUGUAUUUGCGGACUAAACCAGUUGGUUACCUCUAUUUUGUUAAUUUGUUUUUUGACUCAUUCA